Molecule: ribosomal RNA, 800 nt
Filed under: Corallococcus coralloides
Lineage: Bacteria; Pseudomonadati; Myxococcota; Myxococcia; Myxococcales; Myxococcaceae
Description: bacterial SSU rRNA
Rfam family: Bacterial small subunit ribosomal RNA
Source: RNAcentral
UGCAGUCGAGCGCGAAUAGGGGCAACCCUUAGUAGAGCGGCGCACGGGUGCGUAACACGUGGAUAAUCUGCCUGGAUGCCUGGGAUAACCAGUCGAAAGAUUGGCUAAUACCGGAUAAGCCCACGGUCUCUUCGGAGACUGAGGGAAAAGGUGGCCUCUGUAUACAAGCUAUCACAACCAGAUGAGUCCGCGGCCCAUCAGCUAGUUGGCGGGGUAAUGGCCCACCAAGGCAACGACGGGUAGCUGGUCUGAGAGGACGAUCAGCCACACUGGAACUGAGACACGGUCCAGACUCCUACGGGAGGCAGCAGUGGGGAAUUUUGCGCAAUGGGCGAAAGCCUGACGCAGCAACGCCGCGUGUGUGAUGAAGGUCUUUGGAUUGUAAAGCACUUUCGACCGGGACGAAACCGUAAAGCCUAAUACGCUUUGCCUUGACGGUACCGGGAGAAGAAGCACCGGCUAACUCUGUGCCAGCAGCCGCGGUAAUACAGAGGGUGCAAGCGUUGUUCGGAAUUAUUGGGCGUAAAGCGCGUGUAGGCGGCUUUGCAAGUCGGGUGUGAAAGCCCUCAGCUCAACUGAGGAAGUGCGCCCGAAACUGCAGAGCUUGAGUGCCGGAGAGGGUGGCGGAAUUCCCCAAGUAGAGGUGAAAUUCGUAGAUAUGGGGAGGAACACCGGUGGCGAAGGCGGCCACCUGGACGGUAACUGACGCUGAGACGCGAAAGCGUGGGUAGCAAACAGGAUUAGAUACCCUGGUAGUCCACGCCGUAAACGAUGAGAACUAGGUGUCGUGGGAGUUGACC